UGAGCCACCGAGCCUGGCCCUGAUUGGGUUUUAAUGAGAUACUUGUAAGAUGAUGAGAUCCCUGUCAUAGGAGGUAUUCAAGCAGAGACUGGAUGAGCCUUUAAUCAGAGGUGUUGUAGAAGAAAGUCCUCUGAGACUUUAGAGCGGACACAACUCCUUGCUCAUUGUCAGGCCAUCUGACCCUUAGUUAUGCUCCAACAUAGGGAAGACAAGUGGGGUGGUUGCCUAGAGCUAUGCCUGCUCUGCAUUGGUGAGGAGGCAGCAAAAAGACAGUCUUGCCACAGGGCCACGGCUCAGACUAGGUAGUACCAGGGAAAUCAUAACCCUGUGAAUAUGAUGGUUUUCUUGCUGUGAAGGUUUUGUGAUGGUAAAAGUACUAACUUAAGUUUUCAGCUUUGUUUUUGUUACCAAGCACUGAAUGCAACACGGCAUCAACAAAUCACCCAACCCUCCCCAUUCCAUGCCCACCGUCCCAUCUUUGGCCUCCCUCCAUCCUUGACCUUCUGCCCAUCCCUGCCUAUUCGCAGUGGCCUUGUGGCUGAGGAGCACAGAGGAGCAAGGCAAGCCCCUCUCCCUGGUGGCAGGGGGAGUCAGGAACGGUUCCCUCCUUUCUCCUUUCCUUCCCUCCUGUGUCUCCCCUCUUUGUUCUCCAUUUUUCCCUCUGCCUCUAUAGCUGGCAGGAUGAGCUGGCUGGGGAUGAGCCAGGGCAAGCCCUUGCCACCCCUGUUGUCUGUCUGUCCAUCAAAGAGGGGGAUGGUGGGAUCAUUAGGAGGAUCUCGAGAGCCCCUUUGCUCCCACAGUGCAGGAUGCACACUCCUCCCAGCCAUGCCAGACCUGGCUCUCCUCCACUCAGGUUUCCCCAGGAGGCUGGGUCUACUCCUUGUGUGUUGGCUGCAGGUUGGGGAAGAAAACAGAGAAGUGUGCCCUUGGCUGAGGACAAGAAUCUGCAUGAUGUUUUCUUUGACCUUGAGAAUGCCUUUUGCUUGCCCUGCAGAGCAGGAGAGGAGCUGGAACUUUCCCGUUUGGCUCUGUCAGCCAAGUGCAGCUUUCAAGUUCUCUAGGGACUGCUGUAUUUUCUCAUGAGUUCCGACUUCAGAUCUCCGGCUCCUCUUUCACUGGACGGAUUCCAAAUACUACAACUCCCUGUGUGACAGCUGGAGAAUCACUGCACCUUUCUGGGCCCCAUUGAGUGACAGAAGAUCGGAAUGGAUAGUCACAUGCCUGCCCCAGCGUGGAAGGAGAAGAGCCUAUACUUCCAUCCAUUCUGGCCUCUUCCAAGUUCCCCUCAUUUUUCUCUCUAAGAUCAAAUAAAUAAACAUGUUGUUAUUCUUUUUA
Molecule: long non-coding RNA, 1335 nt
Organism: Homo sapiens (human)
Lineage: Eukaryota; Metazoa; Chordata; Mammalia; Primates; Hominidae
Exons: 2
Source: RefSeq, a predicted model, not a curated record